Long non-coding RNA from Xiphophorus hellerii (green swordtail), 328 nucleotides. RefSeq lists it as uncharacterized. NCBI's taxonomy places the organism in Eukaryota, Metazoa, Chordata, Actinopteri, Cyprinodontiformes, Poeciliidae. The record is from RefSeq and is a predicted model, not a curated record. The transcript has 3 exons.
AUGUACGGUUGUAUAAUUGUGCAUCUGUUAGCAGCCAUUUUCACUUGCCACUGCACUAUGGCCAGCAGAAGCUCAUUAGGAUUUAAAGUCACAAGAGGCCCUAAAAUAAAAUAGGCAGAACUAGUCAGUCUUAAUUCUCAUUGACCAAGAAUGAUUUUGUGCAAAAAAUGUUUUUUCUAUUAUCCCAUAGACUUAUCUUAAUCUGUUCCAGGAAGCAAAAACCAUCUACACAUUAAAUAUGGUGCUUCCUUCAUGUGUUUUUAUUGAAAAGUACUACAAUUAGCAUUUAAGCUAAUACUCGUUCUCUAAAAUCUCUGAUUUAAUUCCA